GUCUCCUUGGUGUAGUUGGUUAUCACGUGGGUCUCAUAGUCAACACGCUGUGACUGCUUCUCCAGCAGAUAUCCCAAGGCCGCCAGUUCGAGUCUGGCAGGGGACA
RNAcentral lists this transfer RNA (106 nucleotides) under Epicoccum nigrum. It matches the Rfam family "tRNA". From Rfam's summary of the family: Transfer RNA (tRNA) molecules are approximately 80 nucleotides in length. Their secondary structure includes four short double-helical elements and three loops (D, anti-codon, and T loops). The record is from Rfam by way of RNAcentral. Lineage: Eukaryota; Fungi; Ascomycota; Dothideomycetes; Pleosporales; Didymellaceae.